This 462-nucleotide long non-coding RNA is filed under the name Mytilus galloprovincialis (Mediterranean mussel). The record is from RNAcentral. Lineage: Eukaryota; Metazoa; Mollusca; Bivalvia; Mytilida; Mytilidae.
GUACAAAGUUCAGGUAAAGAAUUUGUAAGACUUGUACUAGAUUUGAGACAUGGAAACAACAUAUGUUUAAAUCUUCUCGCAGUGAGAUGAUUUUGUCACGGAGAGUGAUACGAGUUACAGAUGAGUUUGAAAUGGUAUGUAUGAAAUUUAUUUUAUUAGAUCGCUGGGAGCGAUGUGAUUGGUUGCACAGUGUAGUGCACCAUGGAAUGUUGUCGCUGGGAGCGAUGUGAUUGGUUGCACAGUGUAGUGCACCAUGGAAUGUUGUCGCUGGGAGCGAUGUGAUUGGUUGCACAGUGUAGUGCACCAUGGAAUGUUGUCGCUGGGAGCGAUGUGAUUGGUUGCACAGUGUAGUGCACCAUGGAAUGUUGUCGCUGGGAGCGAUGUGAUUGGUUGCACAAUGCACCAUGGGAUGUUGUAUAGUUUAAUUAAUAUACAGAAAACAAAAGAUUAAAUAUGAAGGCA